Molecule: transfer RNA, 73 nt
Filed under: Felis catus (domestic cat)
Lineage: Eukaryota; Metazoa; Chordata; Mammalia; Carnivora; Felidae
Also listed under: 3 other names
Rfam family: tRNA
About the family: Transfer RNA (tRNA) molecules are approximately 80 nucleotides in length. Their secondary structure includes four short double-helical elements and three loops (D, anti-codon, and T loops). Further hydrogen bonds mediate the characteristic L-shaped molecular structure. tRNAs have two regions of fundamental functional importance: the anti-codon, which is responsible for specific mRNA codon recognition, and the 3' end, to which the tRNAs corresponding amino acid is attached (by aminoacyl-tRNA synthetases). tRNAs cope with the degeneracy of the genetic code in two manners: having more than one tRNA (with a specific anti-codon) for a particular amino acid; and 'wobble' base-pairing, i.e. permitting non-standard base-pairing at the 3rd anti-codon position.
Source: Rfam by way of RNAcentral
ACCUGGCUGGCUCAGUUGGUGGAGCAUGUGACUCUUGAUCUCGGGGUCAUGAGUUCAAGCCUCAUGUUGGGUG